GAAAUACAAGGUACAAAGUCUUGUCAAAUGUGUAUACCAUGAAUUGGUUUCAAUUAAGAGUAAACCAUUGUCAAAGAACUAGUAGUAAAAAAGGAAACAUAGUCUCAUUAUCUAAGAGGUUAUCGAUUCUUAGGAAUUAAUUUCCUACAAGUUUCCUCAACACCCAAAAAUGUUGUAGUGUUAAAUGGGUUGUCUCCGAGAUUAGUCGAGGUAUGCAUAAGUUGGUCCGGAUACUCUCAAAUAAAAAAAAACUAGAAACAAAUUUACUCUAUAACAAGUAAUAAUGGAGAAUACAAUAAAAUUAAAGUGAAAAGUAGUAACUAAAUCUUUUGGGAAAAUUUUGCACUUUAUGAUGGAACUAAAUUCAUUGGCAUUAUUUCGAUUCCUGCAAAUAUCUGCAACCUGCAGAGAAUCAAAUUCGGACAUAUUAAAAGUCUGUACUCUAAAUGAAAAGAGUUACACAAUACAAAAAGUCCUAUUUUUGCAUUUCUUCUUCAAUAUUAUACUGCCCAACUUCAAGUAUAAACAUAUAAUCAAUAGAAUAUAAUUAGAGAAGAUAAGAGGCUAACUUUACUUUUAAAAGAAGUCGACGUAACUAUGUAAGUAUGAUAUCCAACAAUAAUAUCCAUCAUGCAAGCAUUUGGCUGGGAAUUGUGAUAAAUCAUUAACCAAAGCCUAAAAUCUUCAACUCAAGAAAACUUCUUUGAAAGGAGCAAAAAGAUGACCCCAAAUGUAAGCUAUGGAUACAAGUGAAGUUUUAAGAAGCAAAUCAUAUACGACUGGAAGUCCAAAGUUAAAUAAAGGAAGAGGAUGUCAAGAGCAUUUUUCCUACUUGGGAGGGAUAAUCCAUCAUUUACUGAACAUGGAAAUAGAAAGAACUGUGAAAUUGAAAUUUAUAAGUCAAGUUACACCAAGUUGAAAACAUAUCAUAAUUGGACACUUUUAAAACUCCACUACUCUAUAAACUUUGAUAACAAAUGACCAUUGAGGUUCCUAAAAUUCAUCAAAAGGAACAACUAUGAUACUACGACUUGCCAUAAAUUAUUUCACCCCAAAAGAUCUCAUACCAGUGGAUAAAGUUGCCCACACGUGUAUACCCAUGAUCACUCUUCUCCAAUCAAUAUGUGAUUUUGUACGCACUCCUACAAUCCUCUCCUCCACCAAGUACCACUUUGAGCUUACCCUCGAACAAAUCUAUUUCACUCCCACCACGAGAGCUUGCUCUAAAUUUCAAACACCUUCCCUUCACCUUCGGUCACUUGCUCACCCGAGCACAAGCAUAGACCACACGUAUACUUAUCACCAGACUAGAACACAAACAAGACUCACAAAGUUUCUUUGUUCAAAUUUGAAGAUUUCACUCACACAGUUGGACCUAGACCAAGGCUCGGCUACCAAUUAUUAGGGACAAAGGACAUUCACAUAUCUCCACAAAUGGUAUGAUAUUGUCCAUUUUGGACAUACACCCAUGUUCCAAAAAUUCAAACCAAACAACCAAAUUCCAUAACAUAAAAAAAAAAAAGGCUCCUAACACUGAAAAUUAAGCAAAAACAGAUUUACAAACUAGUCCGAAAUUUCCUAGAUAAAAUGAGCAGUAGAAGCAACAAUAUGUGUAAAAAAAAUGGCUCCUAACACUGAAAAUUAAGCAAAAACAGAUUUACAAACUAGUCCGAAAUUUCCUAGAUAAAAUGAGCAGUAGAAGCAACAAUAUGUGAAGAUUACGAUGAAAAGCAAGUUGAUUCACGAGAGUUGAAAAGAAAAAGAUGAGCAGAAUUCAACAAGAAGAAUAUAACGAUGGAUUUAAUGAAAAUCAAUAGUGUACGAAACACAGGGUUCAAGCUUGCAAAAACAAAUCAAACCCUAGAACAACACAAUAGUUAGAUUUUUCUGAAGCUAUAGCACCAUCAAUCACUGACCCUAGAUAAUUUCAUAAUUGCAAAAAGAACACAAAGAAAACAAAUGAUAAAACUGGAAGAUUUACAAACCUAAAAUGUCGACCUUGGAAGAAGAAGGGCAAGAUCAAUCUGAAUGGAAAAUAAAAAUGAAUAAUAAAAAAAACUGGCCCAUGCAGGUUUCGAACCUGCGACCUUCGCGUUAUUAGCACGACGCUCUAACCAACUGAGCUAAUAGGCCAUUUUGUUGUAAAGGUUAAACUUAUUAAAUUUGUAUAUUUCAGUUUUUAAGAUUGAAAAUACUAUAAUUGUUUACUUGUUUUAUUCACAUUUUAUUCGACUAAACAUCAAACAAAAAUAUAUGUUGUCCAUUAAACAUAAAAAAAUAAAAUUAAGGUCUUCUAAUCUUGUGGUGAGCGAGAUGAAGAUUGAAAUUUAAAGAAUAGAGCUGACGAAGAGGAGGACUGAAACCCACAACUAAAACACAUAUUUGAUAAAAACCCACAAAUUCGGCGAAAAUCCACUGUUAAAAUACAAUUCACGGAAAAAGGAAGAUGAAAAACCCAUAUCCAGUGAAGAAGAAGGUGUCGUGUAGAGGAAGACAAUGAGAGGCGAAGAGAAAGACAACGAAGACAAUGAGAAAAAGAGGAAGAAGAUUGUUAUUUCGAAAAGACGAUGGAGAUAAGAGGAAGAAAAAGGAAAUUUCGUGGAGAUUGGUUAAUUGUGCGAUAAUAUGGAAAUAUGAGGAAGAAAAAAGAAAUCACCAGAGAAAAAUGGAUAAGGAAAAUUAAAUAGAAAAAUAAUCGAAAAAAAGAAAAAAGAAACCAAUAAAAAUAUUUGAGAAAAAAGAAAAGAAUACCAAUAAAAACAAUUGAGAAGAAAAAAAACCAAUAUAAAUAAUUGAGAAACGGAAACGGAAUAUACUACUUUUUUCUUAAUCCCAACAAUUUUUAUAAAAUGAUAAACGUUUCUAUUUUUUUUAAAACGAGAAACAGAAAGCGUUACCAAACACCUCCGUUUCUUAAAAAUGAAAACAUAAAGAGAAAACAGGAAAAAAAAAAUGUUAACAAACAUACCCUUAGUAUCCAUUGUUUGAAUUUCAUUAUAAAUUCAUAAACUAAGAUAUUGUCUCAAUAGAUAAACAUGUUUCCAAAUAAUUUUAAUUUAUGAUGACUUGAUGUCUUUUGAUGAUCGGAUGAAUACCAUAUGCUUUUAAUAUUUUAUAAGUAAUAAAAUGAUUAUAAUUUUUAUAAAUAAUCUUUGUUAGCCCGAAAAACAUAAAUAUAAUGUAUUUGCAAGAUUAUUUAAAACAAUGAUAAAUUUUUAAAAAUAUUUAUAAAUAUAGCAAAAUGUUACCAUCUUUUUGUGAUAGGUUAUUAUUUAUAUUAAUUGUGAUGUAUAUACAGGUAGAAAAUAAUUUAUUUAUAUAUAUAGAAGUCAUUGCAGGUAGACUAUAAUGUUUUUGUAAACAUUUUUUAUUCUAAUAAAAAAAUUACAAGUUACAAAAUUUUAAAAAUUAAAUUCAAUUUAACUUGUUAAGUUUUUAUAGAGAAUGUUAUUAAAAUUUAACGUGGUAAAUUCAACUCAAUCUACAAUUCAUUAUGCAAUAAUUCUGUUUUAAAAAGAUAGCAACAAAAUAUCACAUGGGUAAAUACAACAUAAAUAAGCACUUUAAUUUACUAUUGUGGCAAAAAAAAUUAUUACUAUAUAAAAAAUAAAAAUGUCAAAAAUAGAAAAUUUAACAAAAUAUUUAUCAGCUAUAUCGAUAACAAAUAUUUGAUAGUGCCCUUUUAUUAUCGGCAUUAAUAGUCGGUGUUAGAAGUCCAUCGGUUUCUAUCUUUGAUAGAGUUAAAAAAAAUUAUAUCUUAUAAAUAUUUUAAUUUAUUUGGUUGUUUUAAAUAAUGUUACAAUUUUUUUUUAUCAUAUAUUUAGUAAACAUAAAUUUAUAUAAAAAAUUACUUCAAAUAACCUAACAAUUGAAAAGAAUUAUAAUAGACAUUUGUAGGCUUAUUUCAUUGUUUAUAAAUGUUAUUGAUGGACACGAAUACAACACUGAGUCCAAAGGAUAGAGAUAUGAACUUUUAUGAUAUAUUAUCUUUAUAAAAUUAAGAUACUUUUAUAAAUUGAUAUUAGUACAGGUUGGGAUCAAACCUUCCACUUAAUAUGAACAUAUUUUCGUUUUCCUUUUUGAAGCUCAAAUUUGAUGAAUUAGUAGUAGACACAUGUCUUCACUUCCUUCUUGACUUUCCUACUCCUAACGAAAUUACGAUAAUCGAUGUUGUACCCCCCGAUCUGGUUUUUGGUCCUCACAGCUCCAUGAAUUGAAAACCGUUCAAGUGAUUUGUAUGAUUUUAACACAUCAUCAUUCCAUUCGAUGGGACAAUCGAUGAUUUCCAAAACUCUUAGGGUUUCGGUGAAUCUUUGAGUCCAUUCCGGCAAUUUUUUCACUAUUGGAAGCUCUCUGAUUGUGAACCUCUGAAGCCUGAACUCCACUCCUUUCAACGUCAGUGUAAGUUUUUUGCAACUCCAAAUCACCAAAUUCUUUAGUGAUAUUAGCGAUCCUAUCUCGUUUGGCAACGAUUUCAAUGUCUUACAAUCGUAAAUCAUUAGGGUUUCUAGGCGUACGAGGCAUGACGGCUUUUUGAAUAGAUCUUGUAGGUUUUGGCACCCUCCAAUUGCGAGAAAUCGAAGAGAAGUCAUGGUUCCAACUCCAUUUUUGUGCAGACGAAGGUUGUUUGCUGUUACCCAGAGGUAUCUCAGGUUGGUCAAUUGCCUAAUAUCAUUGGGCAGUUCUUUAAGUGCGGAACAGGAUGCAAGAAUCAAGGUUUGUAAAUUUUUUAGCUUGAAGAUUGAAUUUGGUAGCCGCUUGAUUUUCUUAUUCCCUUGCAAGUCUAGGUAUCUGAGCUGUACCAGAUUUUCUACAGCACUUGGAAUUCCCUGUAGAUUUGCAUUGCCUAAAUGCAAUAGUCUUAAGUAUUUGAACUUGUCGAUGCAUGCAUUUGCUAGGAAUGCACUAGGGGGCACCUUAUCUCUUAUUGUGAAGGCUAUAGAUUGGGUUUUUGUGACUUCGAAUACCUGUUUUUGUGUGAGUAGACGUGCAAGUUUUUCAAUAAGAGGGUGCAAUUUAAACCAAUAGCCAAAACCAUAUUCCUCUAGUUCUUGUAGGAAACAUCUUGAGCAUAGUUCCUUGAAAUAAUUCUCACCUAUUUUUUCCAAAGAUAAGUAAUUCUCUUUGGGUAGGAGGUCGCUUGCAAUCCAUAAUUGAAUCACAUCAUUGGAAGACAAUAUGCGAUCUUUUUUUAAUUGGGAACAAUAAAGAAAACAACGUUGUAGGUGUGAAGGCAUUUGAUCAUAGCAUAAUCUAAGUGUAGGUAAAAUACUCUUAUUCCCAUCCUCCUCUUCCUCAUGUUCCCAUAACUUAUCGAUGACACCGUUCCACUCAGCUAUACUAGUUUUUGAUAGCAGACCCCCCAGGCACUUUAUUGCCAAAGGAACCCCAUGACAUUUCUGCUCAAUUACUUCUUGUAUUUUUGUGAGAUUUGGGAUUUGUGCUUCCUGUGUUUCUGUGAAAGCAUGAACUUUGAACAAAGACAAUGAAUUUUCCUUUGACAACCUCUCAACUUUGAAAAUUGUUUGAUGUUUCAUAUUAUCCUUGUUAACAUCUGAAGGUUUUGUGGCUUCUGGGGAUGGAACUACCUGGCUCUCGUUCUUGUAGAGUUUUUUUAGUCCGACAGCAUCAGCUAUUUUCUCAUUCUGAGUGGUCACUAUGAUUUUGCUGCCACGGUUUCCCAUCCCCAAUAAACUUUUAAAUAUGGAGCAAUUACCAAGGUUUUUGAUUGAAAUAUCUUGAAAAACAAUCAGAAAUUUUUUAUCCCUCAGAAAUUGUUGAACUGCAAAGCACAAUUGUUUCUCAGUCAAGUUAUCACAUGUUACUUGGCAAUGUGAAAAACUGAGCAUCUCUUUUAUCAAUCUCUGUGGAUCAAAUUCCUCUUUCACACAAAUCCACAAUCUUGAUGGAAACGUGUUCACCAGAUUGUUGUAAAAGAAUUUGGCAAGUGUGGUCUUACCUAUACCUGGUUCUCCAACUAUGUGGAAGAGCCCGUGAGUAGAUUUUUUGAAAUGAUCCAGAAAGUUAUGAUAUCGUUUGUCUUGGAAAACCUUGGGAGCAUUAGUCAACGAGUAAAGCAAUUGCCAACUUGGUUUCAUGAGUCUUGUCGAAACUUCAGUAGCACUAAGAAAGGAGUGUGUUGUCUCCAUGUUUGUUAGAUUGAAGCCAUACAUAUGGGAUGCAAUUUCAUCCAAAUCGUCGCAUAGUUUCAUCAUUUUUUUAGUUUGAUCAAUUUGACUGAAGUUAAAGGAAGGAAGAAAUACCCAUUUUCCAGUAGCCUCUUGUUUUUUGACUUCCCUAUUGGAUUCAUAUAGCAAUUCCUCAAUUUGUAAAAAUACACUUUGAAGCUUCUGUAGCCAAUCAUUUAGACAAUGACGAUAUUCUUCCUUUUCAGCAUCCUUAAGAAUUGUUUUAAGGCUCAACAUGGUAUACUGCAUUCGUCUCAGGUACAUUGGGAAUUUUUUUAGCUCUAUCAAGAUAUUUUCUGCUUGCUCAUAGAUGCAACAAGCCAUUCGUAUAUAUUUGGAAUAUGUCGUUUCUCUUCCUUUCAAUUCGUUGAGUUUGAAUGAUCUAUAGAUGAAGACAGUUAUAUAGCACCUACCCAUGGAUUCGUUGCAUUAUCAAAAAGCAAAGUAGCAUUAAAACUUACUUUUCUUUUGGGGAAAUGUAUAUAUUAGAAUAGGGACACUUACGCAAGUAUGUACAAAUACUUGUAUUUGUACACUAAAACUAUUAAUAAAGUCCAUUAGAAUUUAGAAAUAGUUUCUUUACGUUCGAUAUCCCACCCUCCAUUCUUGUACUAAAAAAAUUCAUUACAAUUUUUCAAUCCCACUACUCAUGAAAUGCUUCUUUCUAAAGUAGAUUUUAUUAACUCUAUUAAGUGUUAGUUCGACUAUGCUUAAGUUGACAUCAUCAAAUAGACCAUUGACGAUAUUUAACUUAAUUUGUUACUAGAAAAUUAAAAUAUGAAAGGCUUAGAUUAGUAAUUUACCACAAAUUUAGUUUUGAGUUUUUAAAGCAAAACUAGAAAAUGAUUUUAAUUCAAGAGAUAACAAAUAAUGGAAUUCGAUUCAAAUCCAUUCAAAUUUAAAGUCGCUAAAAAUCUGAAGAAAAUAGCCUGAUUGUAUCCCCACUAAGUUCAUAUUUUCUUUAUGUUUUUAUUCAUUUCUUAUUUUUAAUUUUGAUGCCGUCAGUACAAAACCUUUGGGUGGUUUUUUCUUCUUUUCUCUAUUUUGCCCAUUUUUAUUCUUUCAUUUAUACAAUAUAUUCAAAUUUCAAGAAAAUAACAAAUAAUGCUCUUUUUGUCUCUUGUUCCUUGUAUUUUUAGAAUAAAAAAACAUUUGAUUAUUCCUAUUAUUCAUUUCUAAACAUUUCCAUUUUUUUUUUGAAAACAACGAAAGGCAAGUUGGCUUUAUUUGUGCGUUCUUAUUUCUAAUUCCCCCCCCCCCCCCCCCCCCCCCCCCAAAUAUCAUUCUGAACCAGUAUGUAUCAAUAAAAGAAGAGAGAAGAGAUAGUUAGUAAAUGCGUCUCGAUUUUUUUAAUUAUAAAAAAGUACAUAAAAAUUGAUAUGAGAUUAAGAAAAUUAAAGGAAAAAUUGCAAAAACCACCUUUGAAGUACGGUGGUUGUUGCAAUUAGACCUUCAAACUCCCGUUUGUAAAAGUUGAACUCCUAAACUUCUAAGUGUAAAAAUUGGACCAUAGUAGAAAUUGGAUCCACAAAUGAUAAAAAUUGAACUCUUAAACUUUACAUGAAGGUUUAAUUCUUAAAAUUGAAAGUUUAAGGGUGUAAUUACAACUGUUAAGGGUAGUUUUUGCAAUUUGUCCAAAAUUAAUUCUUUCUAAACAAGUUUGUGGAUAUAAGUGAAGAACAAAGCUAAUACCAUUGUUGAUUCGCUUAUAGAAUUAAUAGAAAACUCAAGUGUUAGGUAAUUGUAUAUUCUUUGCUUUGAUAGUGGAGUCGAGAACAUUUUUAAUAUUCUUAAAGGUAACAAUCCUUCCUUUUACAAAUUCCAAGUUCUUGUAACUUGUUAUCUCCAAGGAACAAAAACUAUAUUCUUCCUCUGCUCUAAAUCAUUAUGAGAUACUUUUUUUUGUUGUUACUUUAAAUGUAAUUCAUUUGUUAGUUGAAAAAAAUUUAGGACUUACGCUACUAAGCGGAGAAAAUUUGAUAUUCAUACUAACUCUUUAAAGAUUAAGAAAGAACUGAACAUUCCAUUGUUAAGAGAAGAAAACAUUCUUUCACUUCUUUUAAACGCACCAUCAUUUCUAGGAUAAGAUGUUGAUGUAUCUUCUGGAGAAAUAAAGUUUUAUACAAGAACUUUUUGGAAAAAGAACACAUUUUUUAAUCUUGAGGUUUGACUUGCAUUGCAUAUAAGUUCCAAUUUUCAAACUGAUGAGGAGCAGGAAUUUAAGAAAUUUUGUGGUGGGUAAUGUAGCAUUCAUUAUAGGACAUGUUGUCUUUCAAACCUUGGAGCCCAUUCCUCUCUUUCUUCAUUCUUAAAUUUAUCUCCCAUCUCAAGAAGCUUUGUUCCAUUGUUCAUUUUCAUAUUUCCCUUUGAGUUUCGAUUUCAAAUACCUUAAUCUAUAGACGUGAUUUCACAUGGAUGGAAUCCCCUUUUUGUAAAGGGGGACGGCAGGUGUGUUCUUUCAUUUUUUUUUCCAAUGAAAGCUCUUAUUUUCAUUAAAAAAGAACAACAAAAAUUGUCUCCCAUCCUGAUCAACUUCUAAGUUGGAAUUGACUGUUGUCCAAGAAAUACUUUCACAAACAUUGUUGUAUCCAAAGGAUGCUUGGAAUAUGUCUCUCCUCUUAAGUUGGUACGUUCUCUGUAAAGGAAGUGAGUAAAUUUGAUGCAUUUAUUCUUUCUUUUGUCCUUUUUAUAUGGCUGCCUUUAGAAAGUCCUACUAUAAGUUUCCAACUUUGAUUUGUGUUGGUCUAGCAAAGCUGUUUGGUCUAAAUUUUAAUGAGGUUUUUGCCCUCCUUUCGGGCAGCUAUGGUGCGAAAGAAACUUGUCACUCCUUUUGAACACCAAACUAAGGGAGGUGUUUUGAGAUCUUGUCACUCUUUGUCCAUUCCUUGUUAAUUAUUUUGUAAUUUUAGCUUAUCUCAGAUUGUCUCUAGUUUGGCAUCUUGUUUGUAACCCUUUUGGUGUGAGGAGAUAUCUCAUCUCCUUCUCUUUUUGUAAAUCACCUUUUGAUAAUGAAAAGUUUGUUUCUUAUAUAUAGAUAUAUAUAAAAGGAACAUUUUUUUAUGGAUGAAUGGUGUAUAACUUCAUACUCCAUAACAAUGCUUGUUUGCAAAGCGCAAGGCGCGCUCUAAGACACAAACUUUUUAAUCGCCUCAAGGCGAUGGGUGACAAAAAGAUGUUGCCUGAUCGAAGCGAGGUACAACUAUUAAAAUAAUUCAUAAUAAUAAUAUAAAUGAAAAAUACAUAAGAUGAGAUAAUAUAAAGAUAUAAAUUGCAAAGAAGAGACAAGACCUAAGGAUUCGUGAGAAUCCGAACAUUCCAACCAAGUUGACACCCUUCUAAUUUUGUUAUUUUAAAUUGAUUAACUUAAUUAUUUAGAAAUGUUUGACUUAAAAAUCAAAUUCUUUGGAUAGGAUUUUGAUAAUGAUUAACUAAAAAAUAAAAUAUAUAAAAAUUUACCUAUGUUUGAUUAUGUUUAAUAAUAUCAUACUUCAUUUAUCUUGAAUAUGACUAAUUUGUAAGUUAAAUAUUUUCAAUAUAGCUCAUUUUAAAUCAAAUAUAAUUUAAAAUUAAUUAUUAAAAAAACUAUUUCAAAUUAAAUUUAAAUUUAAAUUUAAAUUUGGACCACAAUAAAUAUAGUUUAUUUUAUUAAUAUUAGUUUAUUAAGUUUUAAAUUCAAGUUCAUCUCAUUUUCAAUUAUUUCUUUUUUUAAAAACUAUUUUUUCUUCAAUUUUGAAAUUGAGAUGGGACUAAACUUAAAAUUAUUAUAAUUAUUAUUUUGCAUAUUCUUUCAAUUAUAUGCAAAGAUGAAGUAGCCUUGCAUGGGUCUACAAUUAUUUAUUUAUUAUUAUUCUCUUCAUUUUUCUUUUUCUUUUUGUUAGAGUAACUUUAAGCUAAGUGUUUUUCCUCGAUAAUUUAAUGUUAAUUUUAAUAAUAGAGAGAAAAGUUCAUAGUACAAGAAAAUUGUAUAAGUUAGUGCACCGGACAUCUCAACUAGGUUGACAUCUUUAUAGCAUCUUCAUCAUUUUAUUAAUAUUUUUAUUUUCAAAAAAGAAAAAAUUAAUUAUAUUUUUAUAUAGGUGCCUAAGAAUUAUUGCAUAAAUGACUUUGUUACUACUAGAUUAGUUACAAUCACACUCAACUUUUAACUUGACCAGUCACUUUUGUGGUUUGUCAAGUGUUGUAAUCGGGCUUUACACUUGUGACUUGUUAAUCGAUAAAAAACUUUUCCUCAUUCAAAACAUGAAGUCUCAAAGAGGGAAUGUUGAAGAAAUCUUUUGAAUAGCAAAUGAGAGUUGGAAAAGUAAAACUCAAAGAGAAAAGAAUGGAACAUUCAUCUUCGAACUACUUUUGAACUUUUGAGUUGUUCUAACCUUGCAAAUUCCGUAUUCAAAUUCUAAUAUUCUGUCAUGUUCAUUGUUUUUUCUUGAGUAAUUCACUAAUUGUAAAAGCUGUUUUUCUUUAACAAUUAAAUAGACAGCCAUUGUCAUUGUUGGCAAUGAAUAUUGGUUACUUUUAGUAUGAAGGCAUUUAUGAGUUUCUUAUGUGAUGGUUGAUAUUGCUACUAUGAAUGAGUUAUGAGUUCCUCAUAUAUUUACUUUAAUUCUUUUCUUUUUAUACUCUUAUAUCUUAUGUAUUUUAGAGAUGUGGAGUACCUUUCAUCUUGUGUAGACAUUAUGUGUGGGUUAAUUUACCUUACAAUGGUAGUGGUUAAACAUCCUAUGUUAGGGGCAAUUAUUCAAUUUUUUUUAUAAUUGGAGUUUCAAUAUGAUGUCUAUAUCUAAAAUCGAGGACAUAUCGAGGGAGGUAUGUGUAUUAGAAUGGAGAAAGAGUGUUAUUUGGCUUCAUGGGUGGACUUUGGAAGGGGUUAAACUUGUGUACACUGAUCAAGGAUUAACAUAUAUGUCGACAUGUGUAUAUCUAUAAAAAUAAAUUUUAUAAGUUGCAUGACAUAAAUAUCCAUCAAUAUUGAUAUUUUAUCGAUACAUCUGUGAUAUAUUUGUUAAGGUUGAAAUCUCAAUAUCGAUGUUUUAAUCCUUGAUACUAAUGAAAACGAAGUUGAGUCUUCUAAACUUGUGAAGCUUUUUUCUCUCUCUUGGGAACCUCUAAACAUGUGAAAUUAAUUAAUAUUGAGCACUUGGAAGCCACCUUAAAUAAGGUGGAACAUCACUUUAGAUGUUCGAAUGCAUUAACAAUGAAGAGAUACAUAUGGUAAAAGAUAUAGAUGUUGAAGAGAGUGAUACUAGUGAUAGAAGUGUAGCCUUGAAGUUCGAAAAAUCAUAGAUAGUGACCAUGAAGGCGUAGGACACACUUUCCCAUUUUAUUAUCAUUAUUUUUUAAAAUACAUAAUUGAAAGUGGAGGGACUUGAGCUUCUGACAUGUUGAUCAAGAGUCUUUUGUUUUUCAGCUGAGCAUAAUCCUUUCAAGUGAUUGAUGGUACAUGAAGAGUAAAUAACUAAUUUAGGAAAUGUUUGGAGCAAGAGGUGAAAUAUUGAACUUCCAGGAGCUGUAAAGUUGUGUACUCUUAUGAUCCAAGGUAUUACAAUUUUUUUAGUAGCAGAGCCCACGAACUCUUUACGCUAAAUAAGAAGUGGGGUUCACGUACUCCCCAACUUCUACUCCCACUACUUGGUCCAAACAAUCUCUUUAGGCUUUAUGUGUUUGGCUCAAAGAUUUUGCGAGUUCAUGUACUAAAAAGAUAUAAUGUAUUUUUAUAUUUUUAUUCAAACUCCUUUCAUAAUGGACCAUAGAAGUUCACAAUUCUGCUCUUUCUUCCCAACCGCUCAUGCAUUUGAAUGGAUGAAUUAAUAGAAGUUACCUGUCAUCUGUACUUUCUUCGUUACCAUUGGACUACGCCGUACCAAAUUCCCAGUGAUGUCUACAGCUCCUUGAAUUAUCUUACUUUCAACUGCUUUGUACAUUUUGAUUCCCUCUUCCUCCACUUUGAUGGGACAAUCGAUGAUUUCCAGGACUCUUAGGGUUUCUGUCGACCUUUGAAGCCAUUCAGGCAAUUUAUUCACUUCUGGAAGCUCUCUGAUUGUGAAUCUUUGGAGGCUGAAAUCGACUUUCUCUAAGCCCUUCAGUGUAAGUUGUUUGCAACUCCAUAUCACCAAAUUCUGUAACGAUAUUAGAGACCCCAUCUCGUUUGGCAACAAUUGCAAAGAGUUACAAUCGUAAAUCAUUAGGGUUUCAAGGCGUACAAGGCAUGAUGGCCGUUCGAAUAGAUCUUGAAGUUUGUCACAUCCUCCAAUUGCGAGGAAUCUUAGAGAAGUCAUGGUUCCUACUCCAUUUUUGUGCAAACGAAGCUUGUUUGAUGUUACCCACAG
This 12511-nucleotide long non-coding RNA is filed under the name Cucumis sativus (cucumber). RNAcentral's name for it is "long non-coding RNA (CSAT_LNC001260)". The record is from RNAcentral. Lineage: Eukaryota; Viridiplantae; Streptophyta; Magnoliopsida; Cucurbitales; Cucurbitaceae.